RNAcentral lists this non-coding RNA (194 nucleotides) under bovine gut metagenome. The record is from RNAcentral.
UUGGGGUUUCCAGCCAUGAAAAUGGUGAGGAAUCAAAAGGGAACCAGGUGCAACUCCUGGACAGUACCCGCUGCUGUAACUCCUCGCGACACAUCGCGCGGCAUCAUGCCACUGGUUGCAAACGCUACAAUGUCUGCAUCAUCACCGGGAAGGCGCCGACGUCGAUGGGGGAGAAGUCAGAAGACCUGCCUCCA